RNAcentral lists this ribosomal RNA (460 nucleotides) under uncultured bacterium. RNAcentral's name for it is "partial 16S ribosomal RNA". It matches the Rfam family "Bacterial small subunit ribosomal RNA", at positions 338 to 795 of the family's 1533-position model. The record is from RNAcentral.
CCUACGGGCGGCAGCAGUGAGGAAUAUUGGUCAAUGGACGAGAGUCUGAACCAGCCAAGUAGCGUGAAGGAUGACUGCCCUAUGGGUUGUAAACUUCUUUUAUAUGGGAAUAAAAUGUUCCACGUGUGGGAUUUUGUAUGUACCAUAUGAAUAAGGAUCGGCUAACUCCGUGCCAGCAGCCGCGGUAAUACGGAGGAUCCGAGCGUUAUCCGGAUUUAUUGGGUUUAAAGGGAGCGUAGGUGGAUUGUUAAGUCAGUUGUGAAAGUUUGCGGCUCAACCGUAAAAUUGCAGUUGAAACUGGCAGUCUGGAGUACAGUAGAGGUGGGCGGAAUUCGUGGUGUAGCGGUGAAAUGCUUAGAUAUCACGAAGAACUCCGAUUGCGAAGGCAGCUCACUGGACUGCAACUGACACUGAGGCUCGAAAGUGUGGGUAUCAAACAGGAUUAGAGACCCGGGUAGGC